This 483-nucleotide ribosomal RNA is filed under the name uncultured bacterium. RNAcentral's name for it is "partial 16S ribosomal RNA". It matches the Rfam family "Bacterial small subunit ribosomal RNA", at positions 30 to 507 of the family's 1533-position model. The record is from RNAcentral.
AUUGAACGCUGGCGGCAGGCCUAACACAUGCAAGUCGAGCGGAUGAAGGGAGCUUGCUCCUGGAUUCAGCGGCGGACGGGUGAGUAAUGCCUAGGAAUCUGCCUGGUAGUGGGGGAUAACGUCCGGAAACGGGCGCUAAUACCGCAUACGUCCUGAGGGAGAAAGUGGGGGAUCUUCGGACCUCACGCUAUCAGAUGAGCCUAGGUCGGAUUAGCUAGUUGGUGGGGUAAAGGCCUACCAAGGCGACGAUCCGUAACUGGUCUGGGAGGAUGAUCAGUCACACUGGAACUGAGACACGGUCCAGACUCCUACGGGAGGCAGCAGUGGGGAAUAUUGGACAAUGGGCGAAAGCCUGAUCAAGCCAUGCCGCGUGUGUGAAGAAGGUCUUCGGAUUGUAAAGCACUUUAAGUUGGGAGGAAGGGCAGUAAGUUAAUACCUUGCUGUUUGACGUUACCAACAGAAUAAGCACCGGCUAACUUCGUG